AUUGAACGCUGGCGGCAGGCCUAUCACAUGCGAGUCGAGCGGAUGAAGGGAGCUUGCUCCUGGAUUCAGCGGCGGACGGGUGAGUAAUGCCUAGGAAUCUGCCUGGUAGUGGGGGAUAACGUCCGGAAACGGGCGCUAAUACCGCAUACGUCCUGAGGGAGAAAGUGGGGGAUCUUCGGACCUCACGCUAUCAGAUGAGCCUAGGUCGGAUUAGCUAGUUGGUGGGGUAAAGGCCUACCAAGGCGACGAUCCGUAACUGGUCUGAGAGGAUGAUCAGUCACACUGGAACUGAGACACGGUCCAGACUCCUACGGGAGGCAGCAGUGGGGAAUAUUGGACAAUGGGCGAAAGCCUGAUCCAGCCAUGCCGCGUGUGUGAAGAAGGUCUUCGGAUUGUAAAGCACUUUAAGUUGGGAGGAAGGGCAGUAAGUUAAUACCUUGCUGUUUUGACGUUACCAACAGAAUAAGCACCGGCUAACUUCGUG
Molecule: ribosomal RNA, 484 nt
Filed under: uncultured bacterium
Lineage: Bacteria
Description: partial 16S ribosomal RNA
Rfam family: Bacterial small subunit ribosomal RNA
Source: RNAcentral